Molecule: unclassified non-coding RNA, 1193 nt
Filed under: Hevea brasiliensis (rubber tree)
Lineage: Eukaryota; Viridiplantae; Streptophyta; Magnoliopsida; Malpighiales; Euphorbiaceae
Source: RNAcentral
CCCAUUUAUUUGUAGGAUAAAAUCUAGAUAAUUGAAAUGUGCAAUUUGUGGCACCUCUGCUGCAUCUAAGCGAACCCUGCAUUGAUCACUUCCCCCUAUAUUGCUAAAGUUCUAAUGCAUAUACUUUGUUUUAGUUCUACUUAACUUGAAACUCUUAAGGCUAUAGAGUGCUCCUCCAUAACUCUUAACUCCUAUUAACUUCAAUUUGGGUUUUAUCUAUUAAAAUUAUGUCAUCUGCAGAUAUCAUUCACCAGUGUUUAUCCUCUUGGAUAUGCUUCAUUAUCUCAUUCAUGGCCAAAGCAAAAAGUUAAGCACUGAAGGCCGAUCCUUAGCGGAGUCCAACUGUGAUAAGCAAAUGUUUUAUAUCACCCUUGGCUGUCCAAAUACUGAUGACUGCCCCUACGUACAUAUACUUCAACACCUUUCUAUAUCUAAUGAGAUGCUGUUUUCCAUUCCAAAUUCAACCAUAGAACAUCCCUUGGGGUCUUUAUCAUAUUCUUUUCUAGAUUGAUAAAAAAAACUAUGGAAGUCUUUUCUUUUCUCUCUUAAUACCUCCAUCAACCCUAGUAUUAGAAAAUUGUCUCUAUGGUUGAUCUUCCUGGCAUAAAACUAAACUGGUUAUUUGAGAUAGUUGUGUUGCAUCUUAAUCUACGAUCCAUCGCACUCUCUCAAUGCUUCAUUGUGUGAUUCACGAUCUUGCUACCUUUGUAACUAGAGCAACUUUGGAUUUUUCCCUUAUUCAACGUUUUAAGAAAAUGUAUGAUAAGGUUAUUUGAUUCAUUAAGAGGACAUGGUUAGUUGAUAAGAUGACCGUUUAUUUUCCUGUUGUCACUUGUCAUUGUCACAACUAGUCUUCAGUCCUACAUUACACAAGCCAAUAUAGAGCUAAACGUACCUUGAAAAAACUGCUGUUUUGUUCUUGAAACAGGUGCAUUCAUCCUGUUACCAUGACUACUGUUGACAGUCUAGUUGGUCUAUGCUUGCUGUUUCCUUGUAACUGAUUACAUCUAUGUUCUUCUAGAAUGUUGGUUUACUUGGCAUGGGCAGGCUGCACAUUGUUUCAACUUGCACUCUGUUUUCUAUUCUUCUAAAAUAUUACUUGAUAUUGACAUUUUGUACAUCUACUAUCCUUGUUUAGACCAGGUAAUAUAGCUGUUAAUUUGCUGUAGGUAGCUUGGGAGCAUGAACAAUUU